GCUGUGAUGGCCGAGUGGUUAAGGCUUUGGAUUUGAAAUCCAAUGGGGUUUCCCCGCGCAGGUUCGAACCCUGCUCUCAGCG
This 82-nucleotide transfer RNA is filed under the name Dallia pectoralis (Alaska blackfish). RNAcentral describes it as "tRNA-Ser". It matches the Rfam family "tRNA". From Rfam's summary of the family: Transfer RNA (tRNA) molecules are approximately 80 nucleotides in length. The record is from RNAcentral. Lineage: Eukaryota; Metazoa; Chordata; Actinopteri; Esociformes; Umbridae.